This 852-nucleotide long non-coding RNA is filed under the name Scophthalmus maximus (turbot). Its description in RNAcentral is "lncRNA (ENSSMAG00000026472.1)". Lineage: Eukaryota; Metazoa; Chordata; Actinopteri; Pleuronectiformes; Scophthalmidae. The record is from RNAcentral.
GUUCUGAGUGGAGCACAGAGUGACGUCUCUCUGGAGGCUCGUCAUCUACUCUGCAUUUUCAGUGCACUCAUUCAUUUUUUAACACCCACUUUUUCCUUUCAGGGUCAGCCUACCCAAGUAAGGACUGGGUGGAAGGAAGAGAAGCAUCCCAGACAGCUUGUGCCGCCGGUCAUGGUGUGACUCAGGAUGCUGCAAUGGUGGGCAAGCAUGAGCAGCAGGUGAUGUUGUGAGGAAGAAGUCCAGGAACUGCUUGAAUAUUUAGUGAGGCAUCACAGUCAGCCUGCACGUCACAGCAGACAGCUUUGUGCGUCACUGGGCAGGUGGACUCCUAUCUUUCUUUUCUUCUUUUACUUCUCUUUACACUGUAGCGUAGCGUACGGAAUCUGAACAGUUUACUUGUCGAGUGUGCUGGUGUGUUUAAUUUGACUGACAUACUCCUCAUCAUCAUCUUCCUCAAAUAUAACAGUAUAAUACAUUCAUCAUCACAGUACUGUGAUAAAUGCAGUAUAAUUUGCAGUUAACACAAAUUAUUUUGAUUAUACCAUGGAUCACUAUGAUAUUUUAUAAAAUGAAUUAUAUGUAAUUAUAUUACAUUGUUAUUGGAGCUGGUGUUUUAGUAAAGUUUGUACUGAAGGUAUUGUUGAUGACUGCGGCCCAGUUUCUCAGUCGUGUUAAGUGCAUACAGGUUGUGUUGGUCCAUGACAUUAACAUUUGUUCAAUCCAACAGACAACUUUGAUAUAGACAUGCUAAAAUUAAACAUAAGCUUCUCAAAGAGGCUUGGAUUGAACUGGACGGUAACUGUUUGCAUCUUAAAUUUGUGGGAACUGCAUUAACUGAGGUAUUGAUUAUAU